This is a ribosomal RNA of Cyprinus carpio (common carp), 119 nucleotides long. The record is from Ensembl. NCBI's taxonomy places the organism in Eukaryota, Metazoa, Chordata, Actinopteri, Cypriniformes, Cyprinidae.
GCUUACGGCCAUACCACCCUGAGUGCGCCUGGUGUCGUCUGAUCUUGGAAGCUAAGCAGGGUCGGGCCUGGUUAGUACUUGGAUGGGAGACCACCUGGGAAUACCAGGUGCUGUAAGCU